This 71-nucleotide transfer RNA is filed under the name Mycobacteroides abscessus subsp. abscessus. RNAcentral describes it as "tRNA-Lys(ttt)". The record is from RNAcentral. Lineage: Bacteria; Bacillati; Actinomycetota; Actinomycetes; Mycobacteriales; Mycobacteriaceae.
UGCUGCUUAAUCUGGAAUUAUAUGCGGACUUUUAAUCCGCAGGUCCCAGGUUCGAGCCCUGGUGGGGCACC